Molecule: transfer RNA, 76 nt
Filed under: Clostridiaceae bacterium
Lineage: Bacteria; Bacillati; Bacillota; Clostridia; Eubacteriales; Clostridiaceae
Also listed under: 1 other name
Description: tRNA-Thr
Rfam family: tRNA
About the family: Transfer RNA (tRNA) molecules are approximately 80 nucleotides in length.
Source: RNAcentral
GCUGGUGUAGCUCAGCAGGUAGAGCAAUUGACUUGUAAUCAAUAGGUCGGGGGUUCGAUUCCGUCCACCAGCUCCA